AGCAGCCGCGGUAAUUCCAGCUCCAAUAGCGUAUAUUAAAGUUGUUGCAGUUAAAAAAGCUCGUAGUUGAACUUCGGAAUUUAUUCAUUGGUCAGACUUAACUGUCUGUACUGGUGUUAUGAAUUCCUACCUUCUGAGGAAUUAUCAUGCCAUUUAGUUGGUGUGGUAGGGAAUCAGGACUGUUACUUUGAAAAAAUUAGAGUGUUUAAAGCAGGCUAACGUCUGAAUACAUUAGCAUGGAAUAAUAGAAUAGGACGGAUUGGUUCUAUUUUGUUGGUUUCUAGGAUCACCGUAAUGAUUAAUAGGGAUAGUUGGGGGCAUUAGUAUUCAAUUGUCAGAGGUGAAAUUCUUGGAUUUAUUGAAGACUAACUA
RNAcentral lists this ribosomal RNA (372 nucleotides) under uncultured Glomeromycotina. RNAcentral describes it as "bacterial SSU rRNA". It matches the Rfam family "Eukaryotic small subunit ribosomal RNA", at positions 569 to 942 of the family's 1831-position model. The record is from RNAcentral. Lineage: Eukaryota; Fungi; Glomeromycota.